This 504-nucleotide ribosomal RNA is filed under the name uncultured bacterium. RNAcentral describes it as "bacterial SSU rRNA". It matches the Rfam family "Bacterial small subunit ribosomal RNA", at positions 28 to 517 of the family's 1533-position model. The record is from RNAcentral.
GAUGAACGCUAGCUACAGGCCUAACACAUGCAAGUCGAGGGGCAGCGGGAAGGAAGCUUGCUUUCUUCGCCGGCGACCGGCGCACGGGUGCGUAACGCGUAUCGAACCUACCCUUUACUCGGGAACAGCCUUGCGAAAGCAAGAUUAAUGCCCGAUGUUCCGCGUUUGCUGCAUGGCAAAUUCGGCAAAGAUUUAUUGGUAAAGGAUGGCGAUGCGUCCCAUUAGUUAGUUGGCGGGGUAACGGCCCACCAAGACGACGAUGGGUAGGGGUUCUGAGAGGAAGGUCCCCCCACAUUGGAACUGAGACACGGUCCAAACUCCUACGGGAGGCAGCAGUGAGGAAUAUUGGUCAAUGGGCGAGAGCCUGAACCAGCCAAGUAGCGUGUGGGACGAAUGCCCCUAUGGGUUGUAAACCCACUUUUUGCAGGAGGGUAAAAUGCUUCACGUGUGGAGUAUUGCAAGUAUCCUGCGAAUAAGGACCGGCUAAUUCCGUGCCAGCAGCCG